AGUCACAGCUGCUGUUUCGGCGCGGGGCCGGGCCGCUGCCGCGACGUGUGGAGGCAGGAGAGCGAUGAUUGCCGCAGGAGAAGUGCGGGCGCCCUUCACCUGGGGCCCCUCCCGAACCGCCCCCGGGCCCAUGCCCCUCCAGGGCCCAGGAGCGAGCCAGCGGGAGGGCGAGGGCGAGCGCUCCUGGCGAGGACAGAUUAAGGCGAACCCCCAGUCAGCGGACAUUUGAGCGGCUCCUCGCCGCGUCUCUGCCCCCACUCCAAACCGGACUCGACGCCUGUCCCGGGCCGUGACGCACGCACCGGAGGAAAAAGUGCUUCUCGGCUCGCUCCCUCUUUGGGGAAGAGAGCUCACUCCCCAUGCGGGCGCGGGACACUCCAUCUCUGUUCCUGCCGGUCGGGUCCGCAAACACCGGGGAUCCCAGCUGCGGCGCCCAAAGGGUUAACGCAGGCGUUCGGCCAGUGCAAACCGGCCUCGCAGGAUCCGCGCUUAAAAUCCGGGUGUUUUCAUUUUGGGUUUGUUUCUUCUACUAUGCCAAGCUGGUGGCUCUCUUUUAAUUCUCUUGUAACAUCUCAACCCUGCACCCAUCUUUCCUGAGGGGAAAAGGAAACGGGAUAACUUGCGGUAUUUCGAUGCUCAAAGGUAACCGGCGGCUCUGCUCCAACCUUCAAGAGAUUUUGCAAGUUGAAAAAAAAAAAAAAACCAUCCUUCGUAACAUCUACUUAAAAAAAAAAAAGCAAGUUUUCCUUCUUGUACACGCAUAUACACAGUAAAGAUGUGUAUCUUACCUAAGAUACCGCGCUUCAUCUUCAUCUAAUCUUUAUUUGAACUCACCGUCGCCACUGGCCCAGAGACCUUGUCAGUGUUAUUUUCAGUAUCAGUUAAUCAGAACAAAAAGAUAAGUUCUGCAAUCUUCUUUCUCUUAAUUCCAGAACUGGAAAAUUAAUAUUUAUAUAGCCUCCUCAAAAGCAUACAGGCAAUAGGAAGUAUGGUAUUAUGUUCACGAUCUGAUGAUAGCAUUUGUUUUAAAAUAUUUUAAAAGAUUAGACACAAAAUGUGUAAAAGACGUUUAAAAGUGAAUAAAUAUAAAUCAAUGCUGUUG
RNAcentral lists this long non-coding RNA (1102 nucleotides) under Homo sapiens (human). Its description in RNAcentral is "HSALNT0369613". The record is from RNAcentral. Lineage: Eukaryota; Metazoa; Chordata; Mammalia; Primates; Hominidae.